Phytophthora infestans T30-4 is the source of this 73-nucleotide transfer RNA. It matches the Rfam family "tRNA". From Rfam's summary of the family: Transfer RNA (tRNA) molecules are approximately 80 nucleotides in length. NCBI's taxonomy places the organism in Eukaryota, Oomycota, Peronosporomycetes, Peronosporales, Peronosporaceae. The record is from Rfam.
UCCCAAAUAGUCUAGGCGGUUAGGAUACGUGGCUUUCACCCACGCGACCCGGGUUCGAGCCCCGGUUUGGGAA